This 668-nucleotide long non-coding RNA is filed under the name Volvox carteri. Its description in RNAcentral is "long non-coding RNA (VCAR_LNC002788)". The record is from RNAcentral. Lineage: Eukaryota; Viridiplantae; Chlorophyta; Chlorophyceae; Chlamydomonadales; Volvocaceae.
ACAGGCGUGCUGUUGGUAGGGUUCUUGACUGGCUUAGUAGCAUCAAAGUGCUCAAGUUAGCAUAUUUGGUUGGAAUUAUUAUCUGUUGGGCAGGAAAUGGCUGCGUCUGUGCAAAGUUACUCCUCCAGAAAGCCGGCAAUGGUCCUCCAGGACCGCUGGUAGAGCUAUGGAUACAGUGAGGCCCCGGGGCCGGCGCACUAUGACCUGGAUCACGCAUGACAAUAAGCCCUGGCUCGCGUUCCUCUCCUUGCCCUUCCCCCCACCACGCAGCGCUGCCACAAUCGCCUUUAGAGUCGAUGCUCAGGGCAUAGCCGGGAAGCCAAGCCCGCAGAUUGGAUAUAUGCAGGCGAUCCCCAAGUCUCCGUAGAAUGGAAGCACGGACGAGAACACAGAAGGCAAUAUGGCAAUAUGCUUUUACCCGCCAUCACUAUAUCAUGAACAGCAACAGCAGCCUCAACAGCAGCCGCAGCUGCAGCAACAAGACCAGCUGGCAACUCGGAUUUGUCAGCAUCCAUUCACCGCCGCCAUGCCGCGGCAUCACACAAUACCGUGCCGUACAGUCUCGUCGUACCAUCAGGCGGUCCUGUCCUCUCCACCCAAACUCUCCACAGGGUGAGAGAAGUUGACCCCUACCAACAAAGUGGAGCACAUGGCCCAGAAGCUUCCCA